AUCGGUCUUUUUGAUUGAGAUUGAUAUUCAAUCUCUGCAGUGUUUAUGUUAAAAGGAGAUAGAAAACCAAAUCAACUAGAACUAGAUAGAUACUUUUUCGUGUUUCAAUGUUCUGUUUGUUUUGACAGGCAAUUUUCGCUGGGUUCAUGAUCUCCUACUCGUAGGAUUUAUAAAGACUUAGUUUAUUCCCUUAGAAAAAAAAGUUUAACGAUAUUGCCUCUUUUUUUACCAAUAUUGACUGGAUCACUGAGGUACAGUACAGAACAUUGUACAUCCUCAAUGUACUGUAUUUCUGUAUAUUCCAUAGGUAUAUUGAGAUCCAUACAGUGGCCUCUCGUAGCAGAAAUGUAUUGAGAUUUAACUUUUGUAUCCCUUGUAUAUAUGCUCCUUCCAUCCACUUCUGUAUGGUGGUUCCAUUUGAUCUCAAGAAAAGGGAAAAUUUUGGAUUAUUUGCUAGAUGUCCUUGUUUCAUUUUAUUUUGGUUCACUUUUGAAGUUUCUACUCCAAAUUUGUGGCAACUGAAUGAUUUGGUUUUUGGUUUCUUUUAAAUUACAGGCUGAAUAUUUCCGUCAGUUGCUUAAACCUGUAACGUAGUCUGGUCAAGUGAAAGCUUGGGGAGGUUUGGGAUUUUCUUGCUUCUUGUUGCUCUUAUUCAGCAAAAGCCUGGAUUGGUUGGUUUUCUUCAGUGUGUUAGAAAUCAGAAUGACCUCAUUAAGCACUGAAUGCUGAUUGGAACUGUCAGUGCAUUUUUACUACACGAAUACAGCUUAUUUGCUUGCUUCUUGUUGCUCUUAUUCAGCAAAAGCCUGGAUUGGUUGGUUUUCUUCAGUGUAUUAGAAAUCAGAAUGACCUCAUUAAGCACUGAAUGCUGAUUGGAACUGUCAGUGCAUUUUUACUACACGAAUACAGCUUGAAUACCUUUCUUUGUUUCGUCUUUGCCUUUCAUAACUCUUAGACAUUUUGAAAUUUAGAUUUUCCAAUUGGAAAAAGCAUUUCUGUUCCAGUUUACUUGGUUAUUUUGUCAUAGUUACUCAUGC
Molecule: long non-coding RNA, 1037 nt
Filed under: Nicotiana benthamiana
Lineage: Eukaryota; Viridiplantae; Streptophyta; Magnoliopsida; Solanales; Solanaceae
Description: long non-coding RNA (NBEN_LNC009880)
Source: RNAcentral